This 406-nucleotide ribosomal RNA is filed under the name uncultured bacterium. RNAcentral describes it as "partial 16S ribosomal RNA". It matches the Rfam family "Bacterial small subunit ribosomal RNA", at positions 29 to 526 of the family's 1533-position model. The record is from RNAcentral.
AUUGAACGCUGGCGGCAGGCCUAACACAUGCAAGUCGAGCGAGCGGCGGACGGGUGAGUAAUGUCUGGGAAACUGCCUGAGGGGGGGGGGUAAAUACUGGAAACGGUAUCUAAUACCGCAUACCAUCAGAUGUGCCCAGAUGGGGUUAGCUAGUGGGGGGGGUAACGGCUCACCUCGGCGACGAUCCCUAGCGGGUCUGAGAGGAUGACCAGCCACACUGGAACUGAGACACGGUCCAGACUCCUACGGGAGGCAGCAGUGGGGAAUAUUGCACAAUGGGCGCAAGCCUGAUACAGCCAUGCCGCGUGUGUGAAGAAGGCCUUCGGGUUGUAAAGCACUUUCAGCGGGGAGGCGUUACCCGCAGAAGAAGCACCGGCUAACUCCGUGCCAGCAGCCGCGGUAAUUC